RNAcentral lists this ribosomal RNA (301 nucleotides) under uncultured bacterium. Its description in RNAcentral is "partial 16S ribosomal RNA". It matches the Rfam family "Bacterial small subunit ribosomal RNA", at positions 509 to 807 of the family's 1533-position model. The record is from RNAcentral.
CAGCCGCCGCGGUAAUACAGAGGGUGCGAGCGUUAAUCGGAUUUACUGGGCGUAAAGCGUGCGUAGGCGGCUUCUUAAGUCGGAUGUGAAAUCCCUGAGCUUAACUUAGGAAUUGCAUUCGAUACUGGGAAGCUAGAGUAUGGGAGAGGAUGGUAGAAUUCCAGGCGUAGCGGUGAAAUGCGUAGAGAUCUGGAGGAAUACCGAUGGCGAAGGCAGCCAUCUGGCCUAAUACUGACGCUGAGGUACGAAAGCAUGGGGAGCAAACAGGAUUAGAUACCCCUGUAGUCCCUGUCUCUUAUAC